This 213-nucleotide long non-coding RNA is filed under the name Hordeum vulgare. RNAcentral describes it as "long non-coding RNA (HVUL_LNC014852)". Lineage: Eukaryota; Viridiplantae; Streptophyta; Magnoliopsida; Poales; Poaceae. The record is from RNAcentral.
GAGCAUGGGGGUUUGGAACGCGCGCCCAAUGGCAGCAACCACUACGCGGGUAGCGAGCACGACAAGUCGAAAAAUCGAAUCGCUCGCCGACGAGAGAAAGGGGAGGGAGAAGCAGCGGGGAGCCCUGUCGGUGAACGAGGACGGUGCAGUGAACCGGUACAUCGACUAGUGAUAGAACAUAGAAGGUAAGCCUGUGUCCUCGCUAUGAUGAUC